Molecule: ribosomal RNA, 467 nt
Filed under: uncultured bacterium
Lineage: Bacteria
Description: bacterial SSU rRNA
Rfam family: Bacterial small subunit ribosomal RNA
Source: RNAcentral
GAGAACGCUGGCGGCGUGCCUAACACAUGCAAGUCGAGCGAAUGAAGUUCCUUCGGGAAUGGAUUUAGCGGCGGACGGGUGAGUAACACGUGGGCAACCUGCCUCAUAGAGGGGAAUAGCCUUCCGAAAGGGAGAUUAAUACCGCAUAAGAUUGUAGUAUCGCAUGAUACAGCAAUUAAAGGAGCAAUCCGCUAUGAGAUGGGCCCGCGGCGCAUUAGCUAGUUGGUGAGGUAACGGCUCACCAAGGCGACGAUGCGUAGCCGACCUGAGAGGGUGAUCGGCCACAUUGGGACUGAGACACGGCCCAGACUCCUACGGGAGGCAGCAGUGGGGAAUAUUGCACAAUGGGGGAAACCCUGAUGCAGCAACGCCGCGUGAGUGAUGACGGCCUUCGGGUUGUAAAGCUCUGUCUUCAGGGACGAUAAUCGUACGGUACCCUGACGGAGGAAGCCACGGCUAACUACGUG